AUGAACGCUGGCGGCAGGCCUACACAUGCAAGUCGAGCGUGUAACAGAGAGUAGCUUGCUACUCUGCUGACGAGCGGCGGACGGGUGAGUAAUGCUUGGGAAUAUGCCUUAUGGUGGGGGACAACAGUUGGAAACGACUGCUAAUACCGCAUGAUGUCUACGGACCAAAGUGGGGGACCUUCGGGCCUCACGCCAUAAGAUUAGCCCAAGUGGGAUUAGCUAGUUGGUGAGGUAAUGGCUCACCAAGGCGACGAUCCCUAGCUGGUUUGAGAGGAUGAUCAGCCACACUGGGACUGAGACACGGCCCAGACUCCUACGGGAGGCAGCAGUGGGGAAUAUUGCACAAUGGGCGCAAGCCUGAUGCAGCCAUGCCGCGUGUGUGAAGAAGGCCUUCGGGUUGUAAAGCACUUUCAGUAAGGAGGAAAGGUUAAGUGUUAAUAGCACUUAGCUGUGACGUUACUUACAGAAGAAGCACCGGCUAACUCCGUGCCAGCAGCCGCGGUAAUACGGAGGGUGCGAGCGUUAAUCGGAAUUACUGGGCGUAAAGCGUACGCAGGCGGUUUGUUAAGCGAGAUGUGAAAGCCCCGGGCUCAACCUGGGAACUGCAUUUCGAACUGGCAAACUAGAGUGUGAUAGAGGGUGGUAGAAUUUCAAGUGUAGCGGUGAAAUGCGUAGAGAUCUGAAGGAAUACCGAUGGCGAAGGCAGCCACCUGGGUCAACACUGACGCUCAUGUACGAAAGCGU
Molecule: ribosomal RNA, 744 nt
Filed under: Pseudoalteromonas prydzensis
Lineage: Bacteria; Pseudomonadati; Pseudomonadota; Gammaproteobacteria; Alteromonadales; Pseudoalteromonadaceae
Description: bacterial SSU rRNA
Rfam family: Bacterial small subunit ribosomal RNA
Source: RNAcentral